UCGAGGAUCUUCGGCAAUGAGCGCAAGCUUGACCGAGCGACACCGCGUGGAUGAUGAAGGCCUUCGGGUUGUAAAAUCCUGUCGAGGGGGAUAAAGCCGCAAGGUUGAUAGAUCCCUGGAGGAAGGGCGGGCUAAGUUCGUGCCAGCAGCCGCGGUAAGACGAACUGCCCUAACGUUGUUCGGAAUCACUGGGCAUAAAGGGCGCGUAGGCGGCGAAUCAAGUCAGGGGUGAAAUCCGGCAGCUCAACUGUCGAAGUGCCUUUGAUACUGAUUUGCUCGAGGGAGGUAGGGGUCUGUGGAACUUCUGGUGGAGCGGUGAAAUGCGUUGAUAUCAGAAGGAACGCCGGUGGCGAAAGCGACGGACUGGACCUUUUCUGACGCUGAGGCGCGAAAGCUAGGGGAGCAAACGG
Molecule: ribosomal RNA, 410 nt
Filed under: uncultured bacterium
Lineage: Bacteria
Description: bacterial SSU rRNA
Rfam family: Bacterial small subunit ribosomal RNA
Source: RNAcentral